Terrapene triunguis (Three-toed box turtle) is the source of this 293-nucleotide long non-coding RNA. RefSeq lists it as uncharacterized. The record is from RefSeq and is a predicted model, not a curated record. NCBI's taxonomy places the organism in Eukaryota, Metazoa, Chordata, Testudines, Emydidae. The transcript has 4 exons.
CAUACUGCUCUCACGCUGACCCUGUCCCAGAACCCGCUCACCGAGCUAUUCAAAUCCAUCUGCUUCCAGCCCAGUGCUGUCAAGGCGAGCUACCUUCCGACCAUGCCAAGCGACCUUCUCUUUGAUGUGACGAAUUGGAAAAACACUGCCACGGCAGAUACACUGUGGAGAUGCCAAUGCGGGCAGUACUGGAGCAUUGAAAAUUGUGGACGGCCCUGGGUUAUUAUCAAGUGUCGGUGUGGCUCCGAGGUCGGUGGGACUAAUCACAACCCCGUGGAGGGAUUUGAGGAAGU